AAACUUGAUGACGACGACCUCGUCACGUACAUCCUCACCGGCCUCGACGACGACUUCGACAAUGUGGUCACCUCCAUCACCACCAGGGUGGAACCCAUCACCAUACCCGAGUUGUAUGCGCAACUCAUCGCGC
Molecule: small nucleolar RNA, 133 nt
Filed under: Sorghum bicolor (sorghum)
Lineage: Eukaryota; Viridiplantae; Streptophyta; Magnoliopsida; Poales; Poaceae
Description: Small nucleolar RNA Z247
Rfam family: Small nucleolar RNA Z247
About the family: Z247 is a member of the C/D class of snoRNA which contain the C (UGAUGA) and D (CUGA) box motifs. Most of the members of the box C/D family function in directing site-specific 2'-O-methylation of substrate RNAs.
Source: Rfam by way of RNAcentral